GGGGGUAUGGCGGAAUUGGUAUACGCUACGGACUUAAAAUCCGUUGGUUUUAAGCCAUGAGGGUUCGAUCCCCUCUACCCCCA
This 83-nucleotide transfer RNA is filed under the name Chara vulgaris. RNAcentral's name for it is "tRNA-Leu". It matches the Rfam family "tRNA". From Rfam's summary of the family: Transfer RNA (tRNA) molecules are approximately 80 nucleotides in length. Their secondary structure includes four short double-helical elements and three loops (D, anti-codon, and T loops). Further hydrogen bonds mediate the characteristic L-shaped molecular structure. tRNAs have two regions of fundamental functional importance: the anti-codon, which is responsible for specific mRNA codon recognition, and the 3' end, to which the tRNAs corresponding amino acid is attached (by aminoacyl-tRNA synthetases). tRNAs cope with the degeneracy of the genetic code in two manners: having more than one tRNA (with a specific anti-codon) for a particular amino acid; and 'wobble' base-pairing, i.e. permitting non-standard base-pairing at the 3rd anti-codon position. The record is from RNAcentral. Lineage: Eukaryota; Viridiplantae; Streptophyta; Charophyceae; Charales; Characeae.